UGGAUAAUAGCGUGAACCCCUAUUUAUAGGAAUACUAGGUUGCCCUAAUUUGGCUACAAGACAAAAUAAGAAGUCGGCGGAGCACCCCCUCGACGUGAAGUCGAGCCAACCAUGUCGAGCCCGUGUGAUUCUUCAAAGGUAGCUCCUUCUGGCGUCCUACUCGACGUGUCAUCGAGUCCGUGUGGUCGAGUCUGCUCCCAGGCGGCUUCCUGGCAUCCUACUCGACGUGAAGUCGAGCCAUGAUGUCAAGUCUAGUCCUGGGUGAUCUUGAACGACUUCAUUCCUCUCCAACUCGAUCCCAAGUCUAGCUCCAAGGUCGUGUUGGUUCCUCCUUGCUCCAUUAAGUCCCAAAUAAGCUCCAAAGUACCUGAAACUCAUCCAAUAUGCAACAUGCUAUGCCAUGCAAUGCAAAUCGUACUAAGUGAUGAAAAUGUUAUGAAAAGGACUCUGGAUGCAAUGAAAGAGAGAUGAAACUUAGCUAAAUGUACGAGAAAAGUGUGCUUAAAAGUGGUAAAAUACAGAGACAUCAACUCCCCCAAACUUAGCUCUUGCUUGCCCUCAAGCAAACAAAUAGAACUAAGCUGGAGAAGAGGUUUGAAGGUGGAGACUCAUAACCAAAAACAUGCAUAUAGAGUAAGUGAAUUCAAUGUCCAGGUUGCUAAUUCUAGAAUGCAAGGUUGACUGAUCUCUACUUAAAAACAUUAGCCAUCUCCUUCACAUCUCAACCUAACCUCUGCCUUAAUCAAUUCAAGCAUUCAAAUCAGCACAUUCCCUUUAACAUUGAUUAAGCAGGAACCGUGAAUCAUACUAUGCAGUGGAUAUGAACACAUUUGGCUUAAGGGUAGAGGUCUAGAGACAAAGAUGGUCCCUUAAAGAUCUGGUUUAAAUCGUCACAGGGGAUCUCUCAAGAAUGAUUGAGCUUUAGUAGAAUGCUAAAGGUGAGUAUCAAGUUAUGCAUACAAGGAUAGAACCCCAUCUACCCAGAAUGUAAUCAAUAUCAACCCAAAUAGAGGUCCUAUUUCUAAUCCCAGAAUCAUGAACUUAACUCUACCCUUUUGCACUCAAAGCAUUUACAGACUUUACUCAAAUCAUUCCUUUCUUUUCUUUGCUUUCUAUCCUAGGAGAAGCUUUCUUUUUCUUUUUACCUUGUCUAGCGGAUUAGGAUUCUUUAACAACUAGGGUUCCCUUUUCUUUCUUCUUAUAAACACAAGGCUUUUGCCCAUUCUCUUUAAGCUAUUUACAGAACCCUUUUUCCUUUACUUUAGCACACCCAAAUCCUUUACUAGACUUCUCUUACUUUAGCUACUUCUCCUUAGGACUCUUUUCCCUCUUCUUUUCUUUCAAUGAUGAACACAACCUUUUCUUUCUUUUAAACACAACCCAAACCCAGAAUGUAAGCACCCACCUAGUCCUAUCUGGUCCAGAUAACGUGAACCAGAACUACAUGAGAUACUAUCCUUGUCGUUACAGACCUAACACUUUCUACCAAGCUCAAUCGGAAUAAGGCCUCACAUUCACACACAAAUGAUAAAUGGCUUGAAGGAAGGUUAGGGCUAAGGGUGGGGAAUAACUGCUCCAAAGAUGGGAGUCAGCUACUUGGACUAGCAAGAGUGAUCAAAAGGUAAAAGAAAGUCCAAGUAUUUUAAGGUAUCCAUGAGUUCAUAGCACAAUGCACAGCAUGAUAAUUAUAAGUCAAAAUUCAAGUUCAAAUAGAUAGGGAAUGGCAUCAGAUCAAAGCGAGUUUCGACUAAAAACAAGAAAGUCAAGCGUUGAAUUCAAAAGAUGGUGCGGUCUUACUUCAAGUUCAGUCGAUUAUGCAUUAGAGAACUAACAACCUGGGCACUGAGUUCUACUUAAUGAAUAUGCAUAUUUACAAGGUUAUAAUCAUCAUAAUCUCCAAUGCAAAUGCAUGAUGCAGCAGUCCUAAAUGAAUGCAUGAACAAUCUUCUUUUGUAUUACAAUUUUCGAAAUUUUUCAAUUUUUUUUGGUUUUUCUAUGCCUUAGAUGAUUAUGCAGUAAGAAAACAGAACAUAACAUCAAAUACUUCCUGGACCCUCCCCCAAACUUAAAUUACACAGUCCCUUGUGUAAUAAAAAUUCAGAAAGAGAGCUCAAGAGAAACAAACAACGAAACAGAAAAGCAAACUAAUGCAAUGAAAUAAUACAAUGGUUUAGGGGGAUGAGUGAUACUUUGGGUUUAGGCGAAGUAGGUGUCGAGGAACUCAUCCAUGCUCUCCUGCGUGUAAGAAGGAGCUGUGCUUGACUCUGGAGGUUCAUGCUCGUUGUCAAAACCCGUCUGCGUGUAAGAAGGAGCAAUUGGCGCUGGCGGUUCCUGCUCGAUGUGUAGACUCGACGUGUCAUCGAGCUCCCUGGUCGAGUCCGCCUCUGGACUUGACCGCUGAGCCUUCCGCUUAUUGUGAUGCCUUUGCGAACGUCUAGGGAGUUGUGCAGACUCCUCUUGGUUUUCCCUCUGGCGUGGUUCAAAGGAUGAAAAUCUGGGAGGAUCAGCCCUUACCGCGUGUCUUGGAGCCAUGCUUGUGGAACCGCUUCUUCUCAAAGUACCUUUCUCUUCUGAUGAUGAUGGGGAAUGCUUGGACUUCUUCUGGAGAUCUGUGAUCUGAAGCGCCAUCUUCUUCACCAUGGUGGUCAAUGAGUCUACCUUCUUUGACAAUCCUCGCAUUGCCUUCCCUUGAAACUUUCCCAACCCUUGCAGGAGUCCUAUGCGCUUGUGAGCUUCUCUCUCGCUUUUGGUCUGCCUUGGGGCUUUGUAUUCUUCGAAAAAGAACCGCUCUGGUGCAUAAUCAUCAGGAGCGUCUUGGGUUUGCUCCUGGUCGUCCUCGUGCAUUGCUUGAGGCGGUGGAGAGGCAGGGGCGACUUGUGAAUCGUAGAGAAUGAAGGAUGGUGGGCCGAAGUCGAUGUUCUCACCAGCCCUAAUCGUGGUGUGAUUCGUGCAUGGUAGAAGCAGCCUAGAAUUCCCUUCUUCAGGGUGGUUGAACACAUAGAGCAACACGCCUUCAGGAGCUGUUUUAUCAAGGUAACCCUUCUUCCUUAGGUACGCCAUAUCGAUCCAAGUUGGGGAAGCGUCUCCUGUUCCCACGUCUAUACCCGCAGCUACCAGAAUCGGUGUCAGAAUUCCGCCAAUGGUCAAGCUUCCUUUGCGCCCUGACCUAUGCAUUGUUGCAGCAUGCUCCUUGUAUCCCAAUAAAUGAUCCAAGAACACGGCUAUUAGAGGGGCGUUUCCUUUAUCUCCCACCAUUUCUGCCCCAUCUCUAGUGUUUCUCAAGGGGAAUAUGAGAGCUAAGUCCAGGAGUUGCAAUUCGCCUUCACUCAUGGUACCGGUGAUCUUCUUUGCGAAGAACAUGCUGGCAAUGGACUGGUGUAGAUACCUCACCACUGGGCUUCUAAUAGAGGAACUCUUGCUUUUCGAAGGUAUGUAAUCUCCUGGUCCGGCGAUCGUCUUCCACAAGGCUUGAAGUUCGCGCUUAUCGAAAUCUUGCACCAAUCCCUCUUUGCUCGGGAAUCCAUACAAGAGAUUGAGCUCCCUGAUCGUUAGUGAGUGGUCUCUUCCCUUGACAGAGAACGUGAUGUAUCCAAAACCUCUCCCAUUCUCUUCUUCUUGAUCAUCCGCAUAGAAGUGUACGUCGAGAGUAGCUAGGAGCUGGCAGGUCUCCACUUGAUAUCCCUCGAAACUAUACCCCAGGAAGGUUUUUAAACCGCACAUCUCAGCAAGGUAGUCCACAUCUUCAGCAAUUCCCAAAGCAGCCAUCGUUUCCCGAUGAGGAUGUCUUGUGCCUUCGAAAUCCAGUGACUUUAGGUAGCUAUAGUACUCCUCAGGAGUAGGAGGCUUCUUCUUCUUUCCUUUCCUUUUGGCGGGCUUAGCAGGCUUGAUCUCUUCUUCCAUUUCAACAGCUUCUUCUUCCUCCAUUUCAACAGCCUCUUCUUCUGGUGUGGCUUUUAAAUCCGCUUCCAUAACCCUCUUCCCGCAACUUAUCUCUCUUCUCCUUCUGGCCAAACGUUCAGCAUCGUCAUCUCUUGAACUCGGGGAGCCUCCUCGACGUCCCUCCUCGACGUGACGUCGAGUAGGUUCAUAACCUGCUUGACUCAGCACCAUUUCACUUCCUUCAUGUUCUGGUCUAUCUUCUCGCACAAAACUUGAAGGACCGGUCCAAGAAAGCGGAUCGUGAGGGCUAGCCUGGGGUUCUCUGAAACUCGUGAGGUCACGGGCUAGAAUCCUCUUGUUGAUAAUAGCAAAACCACGUGCAGCGUGUUCUGUAGAAGCUCGCUUUCUUUCUUGGUCAUGAUCCAUGGUGUUUCCUUCAGCAAAAGUAGAAAAGAGCAAGUAAGUGAAUCAAAGGAGCAGAGAAUGGAGUUUAGAAAGAAAAGAAGUGAAUUUUAAACCGAUUAAAUGUUGUAAAUCGAGUUUAAAACAAAAGAUUAGGAAGUUGCAAAGCUUUAAAGACUCAAAAGCAAAGUGGAAAUGAGAGAACUAGAGCUAUAAGAGAGAAAUGAGAGAAUUUGAAGAAAUGAGAGAAUGAGAGGAGUGAGGAGUGUGCUUCCCUUUUUAAAGACGCCCAAGGAGACCAAAAGCAAGGGUGGAGCGUGUUGGAGCAGGGAUUGUCGGAUCUAGGAUUCAAAUUUGAAUUUUGAACGGUUUGGCGUUGGACUCGACGUGUAGGCUCGAUGUGGUGGGGUCGAGUAGGAUGUCGGCAACUUCAAAUUUGAAUUUUGGAGGGACUUUGCUUGGACUCGAGGUGUUGACUCGACGUGGGGUCGAGUUGACUAGUUGACCGGAUUUGAAUUUGAAUUUUGGCUCCAAGGUUGACUUCCUGGAUAGUUGACUCGAUUUGAAUGGGCUUGGCUGUGUUGGGCUUGGCUUAUCAUCGAGUUGGGCUUCGUUUAAAGCUUAGAGCCGGUCCAUUGGGCUACUCGACUUGUCAUCGUGUAGGGUUGGUCGAGUCUGGCCCUCUUCCAUUUCCUUGACUCCAACAGAUUAAAUCCUGAGAAUCACAGACACUAAAAAAAACAUCAAAAAUAACAAGGGAUAAAGAGCUAUUUACAAAGAUAAACAUGGGAAUUCCUCCCAAGUGAGCUUGUUUAAAGUCACUGAGCUUGACUUUACUACUCUUUUAGGCGAGUUGAGGUUCCUGAAGAUGAACUGUAAAUCCUUCAGGAAUGACGCUAUCCGCGAGAUACUUCUUAAGCCGCUGACCAUUCACCUUAAACUCUGACCCGUCCUUAGCAAAUAGCGAUACCGCACCGAAUGGUAGAACUUCUUUGAUAGUGAAAGGACCAGACCACCUUGAUUUGAGCUUUCCCAGAAAUAGCUUGAGUCUGGAGUUGAACAGUAACACUUGGUCUCCAGCCUUGAAGUCUUUUGGUGAAAUCUUCUUGUCAUGGAAAGCUUUUGUUCUUUCCUUGUACACCUUUGAACUCUCAUAAGCUUCAAGCCUUAUUUCCUCAAGUUUGUGCAAGUCAACCAAUCUCUUCUCCUGAGCUUCUUUGAUAUCCAAGUUCAGCAACUUAGUAGCCCAGAUCGCUUUGUAUUUUACCUCAACUGGAAGAUGACUUAACUUCCCGUACAGCAUCUGAAAUGGCGUCCUUCCUAUUGGCGUCUUGUAUGCAGUCCGGUAUGUCCAAAGUGUAUCAUCUAACUUGGUAGACCAGUCUCUUUUUGAAACACCAACAACCCUGGCGAGUAUGGCCUUGAUCUGACGGUUGGAUACUUCUACUUGCCCGCUAGUCUGAGGAUGAUAGGGAGUGGCUACCUUGUGUUUUACACCGUGCUUCUUUAACAGACUCUCAAAGACCUUGUUGAUGAAAUGAGAACCUCCAUCACUGAUCACAGCCUUAGGGAUACCAAAUCUGGGGAAUAUGAUGCUCUUAAACAGCUUUAAGACCACUUUAUGAUCAUUAGUUGGAGAUGCAAUGGCCUCAACCCAUUUGGAGACGUAGUCCACAACAACAAGGAUGUACUUAUUACCAUAGGAAGCAGGAUUGAAUGGUCCCAUGAAAUCAAUUCCCCACACAUCAAAGACUUCAACCUCUAGGAUAGGAUUCUGCGGCAUUUCAUUCCUCCUGGUGAUGUUCCCCAUUCUCUGGCAGGGAUCACAUUUAGCAAUGAAUCCAUGUGCAUCUUUAAACAUGGAAGGCCACCAAAGGCCGGCUUGGAGGACCUUCUGUACUGUCUUGAAGGUAGCAAAGUGACCGCCAUAAGCAGAACCAUGACAGUGUUCCAGCACUCCUUGAACUUCCUCUUCAGCAAUACACCUUCUAAAUAGGCCAUUAGUACCCUUCUUAUACAAAUAAGGUUCAUCCCAGUAGUAAUGGUUGAUGUCUCUAAAGAACUUCUUCUUCUGGUAAGCAUCAAGGUAUUUGGGGAUUUCUCCACAGAUAAGGUAAUUCACAAGGUCAGCAUACCAUGGAAGCUCUUCUUCCUAGACCGCACAUGCUACUUCGAUUUCCUUCUUGUUGUACGCUAUUUCAUAACUCUUGAUGGCCAACAGCUGCUCUUCAGGCAUUGAAUCAUCUAUCGGGAUUUCAUCUUCAAUCCGCAUUCUGGACAAGUGAUCAGCUACUCCAUUUUCUAUACCCUUCUUAUCAACAAUCUCCAUAUCAAACUCUUGAAGUAACAAAAUCCAUCUCAGCAGUCUAGGCUUGGUGUCCUUUUUAGCAUAGAUGUGCCUCAAAGCUGCAUGGUCUGUAUAGACAGUAACCUUGGAUCCAACCAGAUAGCUCCUGAACUUCUCAAAUGCAAAGACUACAGCCAGCAACUCUUUCUCUGUUGUAGCAUAUCUUACUUGAGCAUCAUCCAAGGUUCUGCUUGCAUAAUAGAUAACAUGGAGCUUCUUAUCUAUCUUCUAACCCAGCACAGCCCCAACCGCAUAGUCUGAAGCAUCACACAUGAUUUCAAAAGGAUGAUCCCAGUUUGGUGCUUGGACGAUUGGAGCAGACACUAGAGCUUCCUUAAUCAUGUGGAAAGCUCUCAUACACUCUUCAUCAAAGACGAAUUCGGUCUCUUUACAAAGAAGUCGAGUAAGUGGUCUAGCAAUCUUUGAGAAAUCCUUGAUGAAUCUCCUGUAAAAGCCGGCAUGACCCAGAAAACUUCUGAUAUCCUUCACGUUUUUUGGAGGCUGCAACUGUACCAUGACGUCAAUCUUGGCCUUAUCAACCUCAAUCCCUUUCUCUGAUAUCUUGUGUCCCAAUACUAUACCCUCUCUGACCAUGAAGUGACACUUCUCCCAGUUCAGCACUAGAUUGGUCUCCUCACACCUUGCUAGAACCCUGCAUAGAUUUAACAAACAAGAGGAGAAAGAGGAGCCAUAGACAGAGAAAUCGUCCAUAAAGACUUCCACCGUCUCCUCAAUUAAAUCCGAGAAUAUUAAAGUCAUACACCUCUGAAAAGUAGCAGGUGCAUUACACAAUCCGAAAGGCAUUCUUCUAUAAGCGAAGGUUCCAUAAGGGCAAGUAAAAGUGGUUUUCUCUUGAUCAUUAGGGUGAAUUGGUAUUUGAAAGAAACCACUAUAUCCAUCAAGAAAGCAGUAGUAUUGGUGAUUAGCUAACCUUUCAAGCAUUUGAUCAAUAAAUGGUAAAGGAAAAUGAUCUUUUCUAGAUGCAGCAUUUAGCUUUCGAUAAUCAAUGCACAUUCUAUGUCCUGUUAUAGUUCUAGUAGGGAUUAAUUCAUCUUUAUCAUUCUUUAUAACAGUCAUACCUCCUUUCUUAGGCACACAAUGAACCGGAGAUACCCAAGUGCUAUCUGAAAUAGGGUAGAUUACACCCGCUUCCAAUAGUUUAAGUAUCUCCUUUUUAACUACUUCUUUCAGAUUAGGAGUCAAUCUCCUUUGAGGUUCAAUGCUAGAAUGAGAUUCAUUUUCGAGAUGGAUCCUAUGCAUGCACAAACUAGGUGAGAUUCCCUUUAUAUCAGACAAUGAAUAACCAAUUGCUCUUCUAUACUUUUUAAGUUCGGACAACAGCAGGUUCACUUCAUCAUCAUUCAAUGCAGCAUUAAUGAUCACAGGGUAAGUAGAGUUUGUUCUUAGAAAUGCGUACCUUAGCCCUUGCGGAAGGGGGUUGAGGUCUACCUUAGGUGCUUUGAGCUCAGGCCAGUCAUCUGAGGUAGGAGAAGGCCAUCUCGACGUGUCGUCGAGCUUGCAGGUCGAGUCUGCUUCCUUGACUUCUUCAGGAAUUGAACUGGGAAGGCCUACUCGACGUGUGGUCGAGUAGGUAGGUCGAGUCUGAUCUGAAACGUCUUCUUCCACUGUACUGACUUCUGCUACUGGCACCUCUAACUUCUCAAAGCAUUCUGAUGAUUCUUCUUCCUUAUGGGUAUCUAGCACCUUCUUAUACCCCAAUGUCUCUAAGUGUAAGAACCCCUCUUCUCCGUCUUUGGUAAGAGCACUCUGUAGGUAGUCUUCUUCAGUAAGCUCUUCAAGUAGUUCGUCAGCAAAACGAUCCAUUUCUUCUAUGUAGAACACUUGUCCGUCAAUGGUAGGUUUCUUCAUCGUCUUAGUGAUGUUGAAUGUCAUCUUAAAAUCUUCACCGAGGUUUAAAUCGAUCUUACCUCUUCUGACAUCAAUGAGAGCUCCAGCAGUAGCUAAGAAAGGUCUCCCUAGUAUGAGAGGGUCCUUUGGCUCUUCAUCCAUUUCUAAAACAACGAAGUCUGUAGGGAUCUCUACCCUUCCUAUUCUGAGAGGUAGAUCCUCUAACAUACCAUGAGGGACUCUUACGGAUCUGUCGGCUAAGAUUAGUUGGAUUUUGUAGGACUUGUACUUGUUGAAACCGAGUCUUCUUGCUACUGAGAGUGGCAUCAAACUGACUGAUGCACCUAGAUCACAUAGGCAUUUGUUGAAGAACAAAGGGCCUAGUGAACAGGGUAGAGUAAAUGAGCCAGGAUCCCCAAGCUUCUUCGGUAUGAUCUUCUUCUGUAUGAUAGCACUGCAUUCAUGGCUCAACACAACCAUUCCUUGUACUUCCUGAAUUCUCUCCAUUACCAUGUCUUUCAAGAACUUGUGAGAAUCUGGAAUUAGCAUGAAAGCAUCAAUGAGAGGCAUCCUUACUUCAAGUUCUUUGAUGUGUUUAGCAAACAUGGCUUUGUACUUCUCAAUGAUGUCCCUCUUGAAUCUUCCUGGGAAUGGUAUUUUGGGCUUUUAGGGUGGUGGAACGAAAGCUUUCUUCUUACCCUUAUCAACAGUCGGUUUUUCAAUUUGGGGACUCUUAGCUUGAUCCCUAGGUACAGUAUCCUGGUCAAGCUUAGUGGUGUCUUCUACUUGAGUUUCAUUCUGAAUAGGAUCCUCCCCUUCUUGAAUCUCACUGUCCUCAGUGACAGGAGCUUGGUUAGGUCGAGCACGCAGCUCUCGACCACUGCGGAGUUGAAUUGCAUUAGCAUACUCCCUUGGAUUCUGAAUAGCUUUCCCGGGUAGUUGUCCGGGAUGUUUAGGUGCAAAGGUAGAAGCAGCUUGGCUCUCCAUGUACUUCACCUUGGAGUUUAGAGCCUCAAUCUUGACAUGUAGAUCAUUGUAGGAGCAGUCGACUUUGUUUUGAAUCUCAGCCAUUUUCUUAUCACCAACUGCUUGACCGUGUAGAAGCUGCUGAAGCAUUUGCUUCAUGUCUUGAUCUUGUGCAGGUGGAGCUUGAUGGGGUUGCUGUGCAAAACCGGGUGGUGGAUUAUAGUGUUGAUAACCGCCACUAAACUGCUGCUUUGGGACAAAGCCUUGAUUGUAUGGUAUGAAUGGCUUGGACUGGUUCUGUUGUUGCUGAGGGUAAACCUGAUCCUGAGGGUUUGCAACAUUCGUGCUCCAGUAAGAUAGAUUAGGAUGAGCCGGCUUGUAGGGGUUGUAGCCCUUGUUGUAGCCACCUUGGUUCUGAAUGUAGCUGACUUCUGCAGCCUGAGUAUUCUCCCCCUCUUGGAUUUGAUAGUGCUCUUCUUCAGUGAUAUAGUGGACUUGCUUCUGUUGAGUAAGCAGAAAUUGAUCCAGCUUAUCGUUGAGAGCCUGAAUCAUCUCCUUAUUAUGCUUCGCAUCCGGAUCCCCAAUACCUCUGUUGGAGUGAUCAAAAUCCUCAUUAUAGUUACCAUCGGAGAGAGCUAAGUUCUCUACCAAUUCCCAGCCUUCCUCAACAUCCUUAUUCAAGAAAUUCCCAUUAGAGGCAAUGUCUAGCAACAUUCUGAUCUUGGGCAAAACUCCCAUGUAGAGUGUGCUGAGUAGUGAAGCCUUCUUGAAACCAUGGUGUGGACACUGUAUAGUGUAGCCUUUGAAUCUCUCCCAGGCCUCACAAAUGGAUUCAGACUGCUUUUGGGUAAAACUGGAUAUUUCAUUCCUUAGACGUGCAGUUCUUAAAUUUGAGAAGAACUUUGUUAAGAAGGCCUUCUUGCAAUCGUCCCAAGAUGUGAUGGAGCCAGCAGGUAGUGUCUUCUCCCAGUGGUGUGCUUUAUCUCCCAGCGAGAAGGGAAACAGACGCAACUUGAAGCUAUCUUCACUAACACCAUUUAUCUUGGUAAGGCUGCAGAGCCUAUCAAAAUUAUCCAAGUGAUCCAAGGGAUCUUCCAGAGGCAACCCAUGAAACUUGUUACCUUGAAUCAUUGAGAUCAAUCCACUCUUGAUCUCGAAAUUGUUGUUCUGGACAGGAGGUGGAACGAUGCCUUGUCUCUGUUGAUGGUUGCGUGGUGAAUCACCAUCACCAAUGUUCCGUGGUAUACCAACUCCUUGAUUAUCUUGAUCUUGUGGUUCCAUGGCUAUUGGAUUGUGCGGUUCACAAUCGUCUCUGGCUCUACGUUCUCUCAACUCACGAGCUAACCGAUCGAUGUUGUCUUUAUAACUGAGGAGGUUGUUGGAGCCUUUAGAACGAGUUUGCAUGCAAAGUAGUUAGUCUCGACGUCUAGACUCGACCUGUGGUUGAGUAGAGUACCUGCAGCACAAAAACAAGCAGAUGAAAUGAAGAGUUAGUAACCAAAGGAAAGAAAGAACUUGAUCUUAGCAAUUCUAAAAUCUUGAAUGUAACAAGCAGACAUCCAAAUGGCAACGGCGCCAAAUUGAUACUAGGAUUUUUACUAUCAAUUACCCUAGAUUACUAUCAUGUCAUUGCAGCAAUUUAGGUUAUUAAUCCAAUCAUGUGCUCUAAUUAUCAAUCAAGAUGUGAUCAGAGAAUACUAAGUCAAGCCAAGCAGAAUAGAGGUUUGUUUAUCUAACAAUCCUAAGCGAACAUGCAUAAAGAGAAAUAGCUAUCGAUACUAAGCAAUAAGCAAGCAGCAAGUGCAGAGAAUAGGUAAACAACAAGUAAGCAAGAUUCAAGCAAUCAAUAGAGAUAAAAGGUCUUGAGGAAUGGGAUAAUCGAUUAUAGCAGUCUCCUUAGUCUAUCUAGGUGGUUAACAAACUCAAUCAAGCUAUCCCUAGACAAUAGAUUUGAAUACAAAUCAAUCCACUCUCGUGACAGAGAUUCUCAAGCUAAAUCACUUUCAUACUCAAUUCUCAUUGAAGAAAUAUAACCUAGCAGGCAUUAUGAUUCAAUCUAAUAUAGUCAAUAAGCAUUCUAAACAUCCAAUCUCUUGGGCUAGAGUAUGCAAAUCUCUAGAAAAGUUUGUUCAGACAUUUCAUCAAACACCUUGUGGGCAUGGAAAUGUCUAAAAUCAAUUUCCAAUUGAUCAGAGAAGAAAUAGCAUUAAGAUCUACUAAACUAGAAGGGAAAUUAAGCAAUUCUACACUUAACCACCUAAAUAUACUAAGGAUUCCACACCUAAUCUAACCCAUCCUCAAGAACCCUAAUCCACUACUCAAGAACACUGAAGAACAUCAUGCAUAAAAACCCAGAAAAUUGCACAAACCCAGAAAUCAUUGAAAAGCAAGUAUGUUAUAGAUGAGAAGGAGAUCUACAACUUUGAUGAAGAAACGAAAUUCAAAAACUCAAAGAUUCAAAGGGAAAAACGAUUACAAAACUAGAGUUUUUAGAGAGAGCAGCGGAAUAUCUGCUGGGUAAAAGGAAUAUCCGCUGGAUAAUAGCGUGAACCCCUAUUUAUAGGAAUACUAGGUUGCCCUAAUUUGGCUACAAGACAAAAUAAGAAGUCGGUGGAGCACCCCCUCGACGUGAAGUCGAGCCAACCACGUCGAGCCCGUGUGAUUCUUCAAAGGAAGCUCCUUCUGGCGUCCUACUCGACGUGUCAUCGAGUCCGUGUGGUCGAGUCUGCUCCCAGGCGGCUUCCUGGCGUCCUACUCGACGUGAAGUCGAGCCAUGACGUCGAGUCUGGUCCUGGGUGAUCUUGAACGACUUCAUUCCUCUCCAAUACGAUCCCAAGUCUAGCUCCAAGGUCGUGUUGGUUCCUCCUUGCUCCAUUAAGUCCCAAAUAAGCUCCAAAGUACCUGAAACUCAUCCAAGAUGCAACAUGCUAUGCCAUGCAAUGCAAAUCGUACUAAGUGAUGAAAAUGUUAUGAAAAGGACUCUGGAUGCAAUGAAAGAGAGAUG
RNAcentral lists this long non-coding RNA (12446 nucleotides) under Arabidopsis lyrata. RNAcentral describes it as "long non-coding RNA (ALYR_LNC003195)". The stretch from base 10212 to 10318 matches the Rfam family "Plant small nucleolar RNA R71". Lineage: Eukaryota; Viridiplantae; Streptophyta; Magnoliopsida; Brassicales; Brassicaceae. The record is from RNAcentral.